AUUGAACGCUGGCGGCAGGCCUAACACAUGCAAGUCGAGCGGAUGAAGGGAGCUUGCUCCUGGAUUCAGCGGCGGACGGGUGAGUAAUGCCUAGGAAUCUGCCUGGUAGUGGGGGAUAGCGUCCGGAAACGGGCGCUAAUACCGCAUACGUCCUGAGGGAGAAAGUGGGGGAUCUUCGGUCCUCACGCUAUCAGAUGAGCCUAGGUCGGAUUAGCUAGUUGGUGGGGUAAAGGCCUACCAAGGCGACGAUCCGUAACUGGUCUGAGAGGAUGAUCAGUCACACUGGAACUGAGACACGGUCCAGACUCCUACGGGAGGCAGCAGUGGGGAAUAUUGGACAAUGGGCGAAAGCCUGAUCCAGCCAUGCCGCGUGUGUGAAGAAGGUCUUCGGAUUGUAAAGCACUUUAAGUUGGGAGGAAGGGCAGUAAGUUAAUACCUUGCUGUUUUGACGUUACCAACAGAAUAAGCACCGGCUAACUUCGUG
RNAcentral lists this ribosomal RNA (484 nucleotides) under uncultured bacterium. RNAcentral describes it as "partial 16S ribosomal RNA". It matches the Rfam family "Bacterial small subunit ribosomal RNA", at positions 30 to 507 of the family's 1533-position model. The record is from RNAcentral.